UAUUACAAUGAAGAGUUUGAUCCUGGCUCAGGAUGAACGCUAGCUACAGGCUUAACACAUGCAAGUCGAGGGGCAGCAUGGUCUUAGCUUGCUAAGGCCGAUGGCGACCGGCGCACGGGUGAGUAACACGUAUCCAACCUGCCGUCUACUCUUGGACAGCCUUCUGAAAGGAAGAUUAAUACAAGAUGGCAUCAUGAGUCCGCAUGUUCACAUGAUUAAAGGUAUUCCGGUAGACGAUGGGGAUGCGUUCCAUUAGAUAGUAGGCGGGGUAACGGCCCACCUAGUCUUCGAUGGAUAGGGGUUCUGAGAGGAAGGUCCCCCACAUUGGAACUGAGACACGGUCCAAACUCCUACGGGAGGCAGCAGUGAGGAAUAUUGGUCAAUGGGCGAGAGCCUGAACCAGCCAAGUAGCGUGAAGGAUGACUGCCCUAUGGGUUGUAAACUUCUUUUAUAAAGGAAUAAAGUCGGGUAUGCAUACCCGUUUGCAUGUACUUUAUGAAUAAGGAUCGGCUAACUCCGUGCCAGCAGCCGCGGUAAUACGGAGGAUCCGAGCGUUAUCCGGAUUUAUUGGGUUUAAAGGGAGCGUAGAUGGAUGUUUAAGUCAGUUGUGAAAGUUUGCGGCUCAACCGUAAAAUUGCAGUUGAUACUGGAUAUCUUGAGUGCAGUUGAGGCAGGCGGAAUUCGGGGGGGAGCGGUGAAAUGCUUAGAUAUCACGAAGAACUCCGAUUGCGAAGGCAGCCUGCUAAGCUGCAACUGACAUUGAGGCUCGAAAGUGUGGGUAUCAAACAGGAUUAGAUACCCUGGUAGUCCACACGGUAAACGAUGAAUACUCGCUGUUUGCGAUAUACGGCAAGCGGCCAAGCGAAAGCGUUAAGUAUUCCACCUGGGGAGUACGCCGGCAACGGUGAAACUCAAAGGAAUUGACGGGGGCCCGCACAAGCGGAGGAACAUGUGGUUUAAUUCGAUGAUACGCGAGGAACCUUACCCGGGCUUAAAUUGCAGAUGAAUUACGGUGAAAGCCGUAAGCCGCAAGGCAUCUGUGAAGGUGCUGCAUGGUUGUCGUCAGCUCGUGCCGUGAGGUGUCGGCUUAAGUGCCAUAACGAGCGCAACCCUUGUUGUCAGUUACUAACAGGUUCCGCUGAGGACUCUGACAAGACUGCCAUCGUAAGAUGUGAGGAAGGUGGGGAUGACGUCAAAUCAGCACGGCCCUUACGUCCGGGGCUACACACGUGUUACAAUGGGGGGUACAGAGGGCCGCUACCACGCGAGUGGAUGCCAAUCCCCAAAACCUCUCUCAGUUCGGACUGGAGUCUGCAACCCGACUCCACGAAGCUGGAUUCGCUAGUAAUCGCGCAUCAGCCACGGCGCGGUGAAUACGUUCCCGGGCCUUGUACACACCGCCCGUCAAGCCAUGGGAGCCGGGGGUACCUGAAGUGCGUAACCGCGAGGAGCGCCCUAGGGUAAAACUGGUGACUGGGGCUAAGUCGUAACAAGGUAGCCGUACCGGAAGGUGCGGCUGGAACACCUCCUUUCU
This 1534-nucleotide ribosomal RNA is filed under the name Phocaeicola vulgatus. RNAcentral's name for it is "bacterial SSU rRNA". It matches the Rfam family "Bacterial small subunit ribosomal RNA". Lineage: Bacteria; Pseudomonadati; Bacteroidota; Bacteroidia; Bacteroidales; Bacteroidaceae. The record is from RNAcentral.